UAAAGAUUAAAUGACAUCAUAAAGGUGGGGCCCUAAUCCAACAGGACUGGUGUUCUUAUAAGAAGAGGAAAAGAACACAAGGAAUGCACGUGCACGGAGAAGAAGCCACGUGAGGACACAAUGAGAAGGUGGCCACCUGCAAGCCAGGGAGAAAGGCUUCCGAUGAAACCAAACCUGCUGGCACCUUGACCUCGGACUUCCAGCCUUCAGAACUAAUUUUGAAGGCUGCCCAAGACUAGAAGCAGUGUUCCUCAAGACUAGAGUCCCAAGAACCCAAGGUGAUCAACCAGGCAACCACAUCACUGAGCGCUCCAUAUCCCCAGAAAUAGACCCUGGAUUCCUGUAUAAGAAAACUGAAGACUGGAUACAUGAGGGAACAGCAAACCACGUAUCCACACACACACAGCCACCGAGACACAAGCAAAGGGGCACCAACCCUGAGUGCCUUGUGAUCUGUUAGUGCUCAGUCAUCAUUUCAACAUUCCCCGCAUCUUGCUGGACGCUGAGGUUAUGGGAGUUGCUCGUUAAUGCACCCUCUAAAGGAGAAAGCUGCCUUUUGAUUGAAAUUAAAAUUCCCUCAGGGACAUGAA
Molecule: long non-coding RNA, 590 nt
Organism: Equus caballus (horse)
Lineage: Eukaryota; Metazoa; Chordata; Mammalia; Perissodactyla; Equidae
Source: RefSeq, a predicted model, not a curated record